Pan troglodytes (chimpanzee) is the source of this 331-nucleotide unclassified non-coding RNA. Its record names the gene 7SK. It matches the Rfam family "7SK RNA". Rfam says of the family: 7SK was discovered as an abundant small nuclear RNA in the mid-70s but a possible function has only recently been suggested. Two independent studies have found that 7SK RNA binds the CDK9/cyclin T complex (known as elongation factor P-TEFb). P-TEFb activates transcription by phosphorylating the C-terminal domain of RNA polymerase II. The record is from Ensembl. Lineage: Eukaryota; Metazoa; Chordata; Mammalia; Primates; Hominidae.
GGGCGGAGGCGGUGAUCUGGCUGCAACAUCUGUCAACCCAUUAAUCGCCAGCGUUGAUUCUGCUCAUCUGGCUGGCUAAGCAGGUGUCCCCUUCCUCUCUCACCACUCCAUGUGUGUCCCUCCAGAGCUGCAGGCUUGGUUGAAGAGGACAAACUUCCCUGAUAGAGGGAGACUAUUCUUCGAUCAGGGGUAUGUGACUAGCUGCCCUCCCCAGCUGGAACCUCCAAACAAGCUUACUUAGAGCUCACAGAACUGUAGGAAGUUUGAUAACGCUAUGAUCCCCAUUUUGUAAUUGAGGAAACUGACUUAGGGAGCUUCUGAAUCUUUGCUU